AGAGUUUGAUCCUGGCUCAGAACGAACGCUGGCGGCGUGCUUAACACAUGCAAGUCGAGUGCGCGUUCCGUAGCAAUACGGGAUGGCGCACGGCGCACGGGUGCGUAACACGUGGGCAAUCUGCCCUUCGAUGGGGAAUAACUCCGGGAAACCGGAGCUAAUUCCGCAUAACAUUCCUUGAAACCUCGGUUUGGGGACUCAAAGCCGUAAGGCGUCGGAGGAGGAACCCGCGCACGAUUAGCUAGUUGGUAGGGUAACGGCCUACCAAGGCUUUGAUCGUUAGCUGGUCUGAGAGGAUGGCCAGCCACACUGGAACUGAGACACGGUCCAGACUCCUACGGGAGGCAGCAGUGGGGAAUCUUGCACAAUGGGCGAAAGCCUGAUGCAGCGACGCCGCGUGGGGGAUGAAGCUUUUCGGAGUGUAAACCCCUUUCGACCC
This 439-nucleotide ribosomal RNA is filed under the name uncultured bacterium. Its description in RNAcentral is "bacterial SSU rRNA". It matches the Rfam family "Bacterial small subunit ribosomal RNA", at positions 8 to 442 of the family's 1533-position model. The record is from RNAcentral.